Molecule: ribosomal RNA, 425 nt
Filed under: uncultured bacterium
Lineage: Bacteria
Description: partial 16S ribosomal RNA
Rfam family: Bacterial small subunit ribosomal RNA
Source: RNAcentral
GUGGGGAAUAUUGGACAAUGGGCGCAAGCCUGAUCCAGCCAUGCCGCGUGAGUGAUGAAGGCCUUAGGGUUGUAAAGCUCUUUUGUCCGGGAAGAUAAUGACUGUACCGGAAGAAUAAGCCCCGGCUAACUUCGUGCCAGCAGCCGCGGUAAUACGAAGGGGGCUAGCGUUGUUCGGAAUCACUGGGCGUAAAGCGCACGUAGGCGGACCAUUAAGUUAGGGGUGAAAGCCUGGAGCUCAACUCCAAGACUGCCUUUGAUACUGAUGGUCUCGAGUAUGGAAGAGGUUGGUGGAACUGCGAGUGUAGAGGUGAAAUUCGUAGAUAUUCGCAAGAACACCGGUGGCGAAGGCGGCCAACUGGUCCAUUACUGACGCUGAGGUGCGAAAGCGUGGGGAGCAAACAGGAUUAGAUACCCGAGUAGUCC